AUCUAUAUAAAGAGUACGUGACAUCUCAAUAGUCCCACAUCGGAUAAUGUGGAAAAAUGUGAUGGAUUUACAAGUGACAGAUAUAUUAGUAAUAAUAAUUGGGCUUAAGCAUUUUUGCUUGAUGGUUUGGACCCAACGAGUUAGUAUUGCUAAUGGGUCGGAUUGUUAUAUUUGAUAUCAGAGCUAAUAAACGGUCGGAAGUGGUGAGAUGUAUCUCACAUCGCCUUGGGAAUCUAGGCUGGGCUGACGAUGAUACACUAAUAAUAAUAACUAGGCUUUAUGUAUUUUGAGUUAAUGGUUUGGGUCCAGCGAGUUAUUAUUGUUAGCGAGUCGGAUCGUUAUAAAAAAAAAUGCUAAUUUUCUAUAGAAUUUAGAAAAACG
RNAcentral lists this long non-coding RNA (381 nucleotides) under Ananas comosus (pineapple). RNAcentral's name for it is "long non-coding RNA (ACOM_LNC027129)". The record is from RNAcentral. Lineage: Eukaryota; Viridiplantae; Streptophyta; Magnoliopsida; Poales; Bromeliaceae.